GACGGGGGAUGCAAGUGUUAUCCGGAAUCACUGGGCGUAAAGCCUCUGCAGGUGGUGAUGCAAGUCACUGGUGCAAGACUCUGGAUCAACCGGAGGAAAGCCAGUGAAACUGCAUGACUAGAGUGUGGGAGAGGUAGAAGGAAUUCCCUGAGUAGCGGUGAAAUGCGUAGAUACAGGGAAGAACACCGGAGGCGAAAGCGUUCUACUGGAACACAACUGACACUGAGAGACGAAAGCUAGGGGAGCGAAUGGG
RNAcentral lists this ribosomal RNA (253 nucleotides) under uncultured bacterium. RNAcentral describes it as "partial 16S ribosomal RNA". It matches the Rfam family "Bacterial small subunit ribosomal RNA", at positions 524 to 776 of the family's 1533-position model. The record is from RNAcentral.